GGUUUUGUCGUUCAAUGGAUAGGACACUCCCCUGCGAAGGGAGAAAUGCAGGUUCGAUUCCUGCCAAGACCA
This 72-nucleotide transfer RNA is filed under the name bacterium. Its description in RNAcentral is "tRNA-Arg". It matches the Rfam family "tRNA". From Rfam's summary of the family: Transfer RNA (tRNA) molecules are approximately 80 nucleotides in length. Their secondary structure includes four short double-helical elements and three loops (D, anti-codon, and T loops). Further hydrogen bonds mediate the characteristic L-shaped molecular structure. tRNAs have two regions of fundamental functional importance: the anti-codon, which is responsible for specific mRNA codon recognition, and the 3' end, to which the tRNAs corresponding amino acid is attached (by aminoacyl-tRNA synthetases). tRNAs cope with the degeneracy of the genetic code in two manners: having more than one tRNA (with a specific anti-codon) for a particular amino acid; and 'wobble' base-pairing, i.e. permitting non-standard base-pairing at the 3rd anti-codon position. The record is from RNAcentral. RNAcentral also lists the same sequence under 1 other name.